Molecule: unclassified non-coding RNA, 345 nt
Filed under: soil metagenome
Description: partial contains 5.8S ribosomal RNA, internal transcribed spacer 2, and large subunit ribosomal RNA
Rfam family: 5.8S ribosomal RNA (bases 1-120)
Source: RNAcentral
GAUGAAGAACGUAGUGAAAUGCGAUACGUAAUGUGAAUUGCAGAAUUCAGUGAAUCAUCGAGUCUUUGAACGCACAUUGCGCCCCCUGGUAUUCCGGGGGGCAUGCCUGUCCGAGCGUCAUUGCUGCCCUCAAGCACGGCUUGUGUGUUGGGCCUCCGUCCUCCUCCCGGGGGACGGGCCCGAAAGGCAGCGGCGGCACCGCGUCCGGUCCUCGAGCGUAUGGGGCUUCGUCACCCGCUCUUGUAGGCCCGGCCGGCGCUUGCCGACACACCAAUCUUUUUUCCAGGUUGACCUCGGAUCAGGUAGGGAUACCCGCUGAACUUAAGCAUAUCAAUAAGCGGAGGA